Molecule: non-coding RNA, 22 nt
Filed under: Arabidopsis thaliana (thale cress)
Lineage: Eukaryota; Viridiplantae; Streptophyta; Magnoliopsida; Brassicales; Brassicaceae
Also listed under: 1 other name
Source: RNAcentral
AGGUGUCAGAAAAGUUACCACA